CGUCGAUCUAGGAGGUCUUAGCUUAGUUAAAGUGACUGAGUAGCAUUCAGGAGAUGCAUAUUAGAAUUAUGCAGGCUAU
This 79-nucleotide transfer RNA is filed under the name Bavayia robusta. RNAcentral's name for it is "tRNA-Ala". The record is from RNAcentral. Lineage: Eukaryota; Metazoa; Chordata; Lepidosauria; Squamata; Diplodactylidae.